GCGCCCGCCUCUCCGCCAGCACAGCCUCUGAGCUCAGCCCCAAAUCCAAGGCCCGGCCAUCCUCUCCCUCCACAUACUGGCACAGGCCUGCCUCCCCCUGCCUCAGCCCAGGGCCAGGCCACACUCUGCCUCCAAAGCCACCGUCCCCCCGAGGCACCACUGCAUCCCCCAAGGGGCGGGUUCGGAGGAAGGAGGAGGCAAAGGAGAGCCCCAGCGCCGCAGGGCCUGAGGACAAGAGCCAGAGCAAGCGCAGGGCCAGUGACGAGAAGGAGUCAGCAGCCCCAGCCUCACCGGCACCUUCGCCGGCGCCCUCGCCCACCCCAGCCCCGCCCCAGAAGGAGCAGCCCCCCGCGGAGACCCCCACAGCAAACCAAUGGCCGGCACCACAGACCGAGAAGAAGCCACUCGGCUCUUGGCUGAGAAGCGGCGCCAGGCCCGGGAGCAGCGGGAGCGCGAGGAACAGGAGCGGAGGCUGCAGGCAGAAAGGGACAAGCGAAUGCGAGAGGAGCAGCUGGCACGGGAGGCCGAGGCCCGGGCGGAGCGGGAGGCGGAGGCCCGGAGGCGGGAGGAGCAGGAGGCACGAGAGAAGGCGCAGGCCGAGCAGGAGGAGCAGGAGCGGCUGCAGAAGCAGAAAGAGGAGGCCGAAGCUCGGUCACGGGAAGAGGCGGAGCGGCAGCGUCUGGAGCGGGAAAAGCACUUCCAGCAGCAGGAGCAGGAGCGGCAAGAGCGCAGA
RNAcentral lists this small RNA (733 nucleotides) under Pongo abelii (Sumatran orangutan). RNAcentral's name for it is "processed transcript". Lineage: Eukaryota; Metazoa; Chordata; Mammalia; Primates; Hominidae. The record is from RNAcentral.